Molecule: ribosomal RNA, 400 nt
Filed under: uncultured bacterium
Lineage: Bacteria
Description: bacterial SSU rRNA
Rfam family: Bacterial small subunit ribosomal RNA
Source: RNAcentral
GAAUAUUGGACAAUGGGCGAAAGCCUGAUCCAGCAAUGCCGCGUGAGUGAUGAAGGCCUUAGGGUUGUAAAGCUCUUUUACCCGGGAUGAUAAUGACAGUACCGGGAGAAUAAGCUCCGGCUAACUCCGUGCCAGCAGCCGCGGUAAUACAGAGGGGGCUAGCGUUGUUCGGAAUUACUGGGCGUAAAGGGCGCGUAGGUGGCCUGUUAAGUCGAACGUGAAAUCCCCGGGCUCAACCCGGGAACUGCGUCCGAGACUGGCAGGCUCGAAUCCGGGAGAGGGAUGUGGAAUUCCAGGUGUAGCGGUGAAAUGCGUAGAUAUCUGGAGGAACACCGGUGGCGAAGGCGGCAUCCUGGACCGGUAUUGACGCUGAGGCGCGAAAGCCAGGGGAGCAAACGGG